AUUGAACGCUGGCGGCAUGCCUUACACAUGCAAGUCGAACGGCAGCACGGGAGCAAUCCUGGUGGCGAGUGGCGAACGGGUGAGUAAUACAUCGGAACGUGCCCAGUCGUGGGGGAUAACGUAGCGAAAGUUACGCUAAUACCGCAUACGAUCUAUGGAUGAAAGCGGGGGAUCGCAAGACCUCGCGCGAUUGGAGCGGCCGAUGGCAGAUUAGGUUGUUGGUGGGGUAAUGGCUUACCAAGCCUCCGAUCUGUAGCUGGUCUGAGAGGACGAUCAGCCACACUGGGACGGGAAAACGGACCAGACUCCUACGGGAGGCAGCAGUGGGGAAUUUUGGACAAUGGGCGAAAGCCUGAUCCAGCAAUGCCGCGUGCCGGACGAAGGCCUUCGGGUUGUAAACUGCUUUUGUACGGAGCGAAACGGCUCUCACUAAUACUGGGGGCUAAUGACGGUACCGUAAGAAUAAGCACCGGCUAACUACGUGCCAGCCGCCGCCGUAA
This 500-nucleotide ribosomal RNA is filed under the name uncultured bacterium. RNAcentral's name for it is "partial 16S ribosomal RNA". It matches the Rfam family "Bacterial small subunit ribosomal RNA", at positions 30 to 523 of the family's 1533-position model. The record is from RNAcentral.